Molecule: long non-coding RNA, 773 nt
Filed under: Vulpes vulpes (red fox)
Lineage: Eukaryota; Metazoa; Chordata; Mammalia; Carnivora; Canidae
Description: lncRNA (ENSVVUG00000012839.1)
Source: RNAcentral
CGGAGCCCGCCCCGCCUGACGCGCCCCUGACGCACCGGAGCCCGCGGGGGCGGCGGGACCCGCCCCGGCCCGCAGGACACCCCCUCGGAACGCGGGGCCCACCGGGCUAAGGCAUUUUUAACAGCCUGAGAAAUUAUCUUGUCUUCGCUUUCUUGCCUCUGCUGGUGAGCCAGAGCUGACAGCAGGAAUGGGAAAGAAGCACUCCUCAGAAGUCCUAGCAUCUGAGCCCAGCUUCCACAUCUGAGAGCUUGACUGUCAACACCAACUACCACACUUGGACUGGGGAGUCUCCUGAGCAGAAACAGGCGAAGAUAAGGAUUUUUAACGCAGCUUAUUGCAUUUUACAGUUCAAGCGCACCCUCUUCUGUUGAUUUACAAAAUUGCAGUUUCUUUAAUAACACUUUUGAGGUGGCUGAAGUACAACAUCAAGUCAUUUUUAGUGGAAGAUAGCCACAAUCAAAGAGCACUUCUUCAUACCCCCACUGUUAAGGCUGGCACAACAUUGCAUAUCUAAGAGCAUCACUUCAAAGAAGAAAAUUUGCCAGAUCACAAACAUAUCCCCUCAAACCUUGUUAGACAAUAUUGCCUUAUUUUCUGACAUCACAUUCUGUGAUAGAAUAUGAAGCCAGCCUGGUUUCAAAAAAUUCCAUCAUCGAAUUCUUUUGUUGCUCGUGUAUAAAAAUACAAUUGCCUUUUAAUAUUGAUCUUGUACCCAAUAACCUUGCUAAAUGCGUUUAUUAAUUAUAAUAGCCUAUCUGUUGAUUCUUUUGAAU